UUUUUUUUGUUAAUAGUAUGCCCUGUACACUGUGCUGGAUGCGCCCUAUGACUUCUCCAUCAAAGACAUGCCAAACUUGAGAAACUGGUGGUGCGUCAUGUUAAUGGAGAAUCUGGAACUUGGCAGUUAUGGAAAAAUGUUUGCCCAUUGGACGGAGUCCUCCAAGGCCCUCUUACGAGGUGACGUGUCUCCAGUUUUUAGACUGAAG
This is a long non-coding RNA of Cyprinodon tularosa, 208 nucleotides long. RefSeq lists it as uncharacterized. The transcript has 3 exons. NCBI's taxonomy places the organism in Eukaryota, Metazoa, Chordata, Actinopteri, Cyprinodontiformes, Cyprinodontidae. The record is from RefSeq and is a predicted model, not a curated record.